GAGACAUCUAGCUAUGGGCCUGAAGUGUCUGUCUGUUCAUUUCUGUGUCACUUGAAGGAGUGCCUACAUGCCAUCUUAUCAUCUCGUUACGGUCUGAAAUUAUUUGACUAACUAAGCUGGCAAGGAAACCCAGAAGCAAGUGGAAGAGCAGCCUGGGAUGGAGCCCUUUCCUAACAGGCAAAUGUACAAGCUGUGACUUCAGCAGACCACUUCAACUAUCGCAAUCACAUUUGUUUAGAACAACAGAGCCAUAUCCUUCUUUGGGUUGCUCCAUACCUUCCUACAGCUAGCAUGGAUAAAACACUAGUGCUCCGUGGAGAAAUUUCUCUAUCUAGAACAGAGAAAUUACUCCUCCCAGUUCAACCUGAGAAUGAUUCUGCUCAACCUUCAGCAUCAGACCUGACAUGUGAGAAGACUGCCAUUUGGAAAUGCCAGCCACCCGUUAGCUUCCUGCAG
This is a long non-coding RNA of Cuculus canorus (common cuckoo), 456 nucleotides long. RefSeq lists it as uncharacterized. NCBI's taxonomy places the organism in Eukaryota, Metazoa, Chordata, Aves, Cuculiformes, Cuculidae. The record is from RefSeq and is a predicted model, not a curated record. The transcript is spliced from 3 exons.